This 492-nucleotide ribosomal RNA is filed under the name uncultured bacterium. RNAcentral describes it as "partial 16S ribosomal RNA". It matches the Rfam family "Bacterial small subunit ribosomal RNA", at positions 30 to 507 of the family's 1533-position model. The record is from RNAcentral.
AUUGAACGCUGGCGGUAGGCCUAACACAUGCAAGUCGAACGGCAGCACAGUAAGAGCUUGCUCUUACGGGUGGCGAGUGGCGGACGGGUGAGGAAUACAUCGGAAUCUACUUUUUCGUGGGGGAUAACGUAGGGAAACUUACGCUAAUACCUCAUACGACCUACGGGUGAAAGCAGGGGAUCUUCGGACCUUGCGCGAUUGAAUGAGCCGAUGUCGGAUUAGCUAGUUGGCGGGGUAAAGGCCCACCAAGGCGACGAUCCGUAGCUGGUCUGAGAGGAUGAUCAGCCACACUGGAACUGAGACACGGUCCAGACUCCUACGGGAGGCAGCAGUGGGGAAUAUUGGACAAUGGGCGCAAGCCUGAUCCAGCAAUACCGCGUGGGUGAAGAAGGCCUUCGGGUUGUAAAGCCCUUUUGUUGGGAAAGAAAAGCAGCAGGUUAAUACCCCGCUGUUAUGACGGUACCCAAAGAAUAAGCACCGGCUAACUUCGUG